GUAGGGAAUAUUGGGCAAUGGAAGGAAUUCUGACCCAGCCAUGCCGCGUGCAGGAAUACAGUCCUAUGGACUUUAAACUGCUUUUAUUAUAGAGUAACCUGGGGGACGUGUCCCCCACUGCAAGUAUAUAAUGAAUAAGCAUCGGCUAACUCCGUGCCAGCAGCCGCGGUAAUACGGGGGAUGCAAGCGUUAUCCGGAUUUAUUGGGUUUAAAGGGUGCGCAGGCUGAUCGGUAAGUCAUGGGUGAAAAGUCACUGCUUAAUAGUGAUCGUGCCUAUGAUACUGCCGGACUAGAGUUUAAGAGGUGUAACUGGAAUGUGAUGUGUAGCGGUGAAAUGCUUAGAUAUGUCACAGAACGCCAAUCGUGAAGACAGGUUACAAACUUAAUACUGACGCUCAUGCACGAAAGCGUGGGGAUCAAACAGGAUUAGAUACCCGUGUAGUCC
RNAcentral lists this ribosomal RNA (445 nucleotides) under uncultured bacterium. RNAcentral's name for it is "partial 16S ribosomal RNA". It matches the Rfam family "Bacterial small subunit ribosomal RNA", at positions 354 to 796 of the family's 1533-position model. The record is from RNAcentral.